RNAcentral lists this long non-coding RNA (207 nucleotides) under Lathyrus oleraceus (garden pea). RNAcentral describes it as "Pisum sativum (pea) long non-coding RNA (PSAT_LNC016657)". Lineage: Eukaryota; Viridiplantae; Streptophyta; Magnoliopsida; Fabales; Fabaceae. The record is from RNAcentral.
ACUGAAACCUGCCAUAAAUGGAAAGUUUUGAUCCUCAAACUUACAUCAUGAUACAAGCCUCAAAUGAAUUUUUGCCCAACAUGAAAGUUGAAGAUCUUGUUCUCCCAUUUCCAAAAAGUCCUAGAACUCUCAAUUCCCAUGUGUGGUUGGCAAGUUAUGAUCGAAUCGAUUUCAGAAAAUCUUGAACUUCAAAAGGCCAUAUCUCNN